Molecule: ribosomal RNA, 103 nt
Filed under: Escherichia coli
Lineage: Bacteria; Pseudomonadati; Pseudomonadota; Gammaproteobacteria; Enterobacterales; Enterobacteriaceae
Also listed under: 6 other names
Description: partial 16S ribosomal RNA
Rfam family: Bacterial small subunit ribosomal RNA
Source: RNAcentral
AAAUUGAAGAGUUUGAUCAUGGCUCAGAUUGAACGCUGGCGGCAGGCCUAACACAUGCAAGUCGAACGGUAACAGGAAGCAGCUUGCUGCUUUGCUGACGAGU